This 301-nucleotide ribosomal RNA is filed under the name uncultured bacterium. RNAcentral describes it as "partial 16S ribosomal RNA". It matches the Rfam family "Bacterial small subunit ribosomal RNA", at positions 509 to 807 of the family's 1533-position model. The record is from RNAcentral.
CAGCCGCCACGGUAAUACGAAGGGGGCUAGCGUUGCUCGGAAUUACUGGGCGUAAAGGGAGCGUAGGCGGACUGUUUAGUCAGAGGUGAAAGCCCAGGGCUCAACCCUGGAAUUGCCUUUGAUACUGGCAGUCUUGAGUACGGAAGAGGUAUGUGGAACUCCGAGUGUAGAGGUGAAAUUCGUAGAUAUUCGGAAGAACACCAGUGGCGAAGGCGACAUACUGGUCCGUUACUGACGCUGAGGCUCGAAAGCGUGGGGAGCAAACAGGAUUAGAUACCCCUGUAGUCCCUGUCUCUUAUAC